GGCCUGUUAAGUCAGAUGUAGAAACGGCCCGGGGACCUUUAACCGUACGGUAAGUUGCUAUUUAGUAAACGUGGCGAGGCUAGAGUCUUGUAGGAGGGGGGUAGGAAUUUCAGGUGUAGCGGUGAAAUGCGUAGAGAUCUGAAGGAAUACCAGUGGCGAAGGCGGCCCCCUGGACAAAGACUGACGCUCAGAUGCGAAAGCGUGGGGAGCAAACAGGAUUAGAUACCCUGGUAG
RNAcentral lists this ribosomal RNA (234 nucleotides) under uncultured bacterium. RNAcentral describes it as "partial 16S ribosomal RNA". It matches the Rfam family "Bacterial small subunit ribosomal RNA", at positions 577 to 793 of the family's 1533-position model. The record is from RNAcentral.